CACACCGCCCGUCACACCACGAAAAGCUGGUUCCACCAGAAGUCGCUGUGCUAACCGCAAGGAGGUAGGCGCCCAAGGUGAGAUCGGUGAUUGGGGUG
RNAcentral lists this ribosomal RNA (98 nucleotides) under uncultured bacterium. RNAcentral describes it as "partial 16S ribosomal RNA". It matches the Rfam family "Bacterial small subunit ribosomal RNA", at positions 1386 to 1482 of the family's 1533-position model. The record is from RNAcentral.